This 1447-nucleotide ribosomal RNA is filed under the name uncultured Bordetella sp. RNAcentral describes it as "partial 16S-23S ribosomal RNA intergenic spacer". It matches the Rfam family "Bacterial small subunit ribosomal RNA". The record is from RNAcentral. Lineage: Bacteria; Pseudomonadati; Pseudomonadota; Betaproteobacteria; Burkholderiales; Alcaligenaceae.
GGUUUUGAUCUGGCUCCAGGUUACCGGGUGUGGCACGGAUGCUACACCAUGCAAGUCGAACGCCCGGCACAGUUUUCGGUCUGGUGGCGAGUGGCGAACGGGUGAGUAAUGUGUGGAACGGUGAUGCUGUGCUUGGGGAUAACUGCGAAAGCGUAGCUAAUACCACCUCGCCCUUCGAAGGGGAAAGCGGGGACCUUCGGGCCUCGCACUAUUAAACGGCCGAUAUCGGAUUAGCUAGUUGGUGGGGUAACGGCUCGCAAGGCACGACGUCCGUGCUGGUUUUGAGAGAACGUCCACGCUGGACUGAGACACGGCCCAGACUCACGGGAGGCAGUGGGGAAUUUUGGUUAAUCAGGAAGCCCUGAUCCAGCCAUCCCGUGCGAUGAAGGCCUUCAGUUGUAAGCACUUUUGGCAGAAAGAAACGGCACGGGAUAAUACCCCGUGCAACUGACAGUACCUGCAGAAUAAGCACUGACAAUACGCGCCAGCAUCGCGAUGUCCACGUAGGGUGCAAGCGUUAAUCGGGAGUACUGGGCGUAAAGCGUGCGCAGGCGGUUCGGAAAGAAGAUGUGAAAUCCCAGAGCUUAACUUUGGAACUGCAUUUUUAACUACCGAGCUAAAUUAUCGGAGAAAUUGGAAUUCCGUGUAGCGGUGAAAUGCGUAGAUAUGCGGAGGAACACCGAUAACGGCUGGACCUCUACCUGGGAUAACACUGACUCAUGCACGAAAGCGUGGGGGCAAGCAGUUAGAUACCUGGUAAGUCACGCCUAAACGAUGUCAACUAGCUAUUUUAGGGCCUUCGGGCCUUGGUUGGCCGCAACUAACGUGAAGUUGACCGCCUGGGGGAAGUACGGUCGCAAGAUUAAAACUCAAAGGAAUUGACGGGGAUGCACAGCGGUGGAUGAUGUGGUUCGAUCACCCUUUUGAAAAACCUUACCUGCCCUUGACAUGUCUGGAAUCCCGAAGAGAUUUGCGGUGCUCGCAGAGCCGGAACACAGGUGCUGCAUAGCUGUCGUCAGCUCGUGUCGUGAGAUGGGUUAAGUCCCGCAACGAGCGCAACCCUUGUCAUUAGUUGCUACGAAGGGCACUCUAAUGAGACUGCCGGUGACAAACCGGAGGAAGGUGGGGAUGACGUCAAGUCCUCGCCAAGCGCUAUGGGUAGAGCUCACACGUCAUACAAUGGUCGGGACAGAGGGUCGCCAACCCGCGAGAGGCCAAUCCCAGAAACCCGGUCAUGUAGUCCGGAUCUAGAGAUCUGCAACUCGACUGCGUGAAGUCGGAAUCGCUAGUAAUCGCGGAUCAUGUCGCGGUGAAUACGUUCCCGGGUCUUGUACACACCGCCCGUCACACCAUGGGAGUGGGUUUUACCAGAAGUAGUUAGCUAACCGUAAGGAGGGCGAUUACCACGGUAGGAUUCAUGACUUAGGGUGAAGUCGUAACAAGGUAA